GAUGAACGCUGGCGGCGUGCUUAACACAUGCAAGUCGAACGGAAAGGCUCCUGCCUGCAGGGGUACUCGAGUGGCGAACGGGUGAGUAACACGUGGGUGAUCUGCCCUGUACUUCGGGAUAAGCUUGGGAAACUGGGUCUAAUACCGGAUAUGACAAUCUCUUGGAUGGGGUUGUGGAAAGCUUUUGCGGUAUGGGAUGAGCUCGCGGCCUAUCAGCUUGUUGGUGGGGUAAUGGCCUACCAAGGCGUCGACGGGUAGCCGGCCUGAGAGGGUGUACGGCCACAUUGGGACUGAGAUACGGCCCAGACUCCUACGGGAGGCAGCAGUGGGGAAUAUUGCACAAUGGGCGCAAGCCUGAUGCAGCGACGCCGCGUGGGGGAUGACGGCCUUCUGGUUGUAAACUCCUUUCGCAACCGACGAAGCUUUUGUGACGGUAGGUUGAGAAGAAGCACCGGCUAACUACGUG
This 466-nucleotide ribosomal RNA is filed under the name uncultured bacterium. RNAcentral describes it as "partial 16S ribosomal RNA". It matches the Rfam family "Bacterial small subunit ribosomal RNA", at positions 28 to 507 of the family's 1533-position model. The record is from RNAcentral.